CAUUGCGGGGUGCCUAAUACAUGCAGUCGAGCGAACUGAUUAGAAGCUUGCUUCUAUGACGUUAGCGGCGGACGGGUGAGUAACACGUGGGCAACCUGCCUGUAAGACUGGGAUAACUUCGGGAAACCGAAGCUAAUACCGGAUAGGAUCUUCUCCUUCAUGGGAGAUGAUUGAAAGAUGGUUUCGGCUAUCACUUACAGAUGGGCCCGCGGUGCAUUAGCUAGUUGGUGAGGUAACGGCUCACCAAGGCAACGAUGCAUAGCCGACCUGAGAGGGUGAUCGGCCACACUGGGACUGAGACACGGCCCAGACUCCUACGGGAGGCAGCAGUAGGGAAUCUUCCGCAAUGGACGAAAGUCUGACGGAGCAACGCCGCGUGAGUGAUGAAGGCUUUCGGGUCGUAAAACUCUGUUGUUAGGGAAGAACAAGUACAAGAGUAACUGCUCGUACCUUGACGGUACCUAACCAGAAAGCCACGGCUAACUACGUGCCAGCAGCCGCGUUAAUACGUAUGUGGUAAGCGUUAUCCCGAAUUAUUGGGCGUAAAGCGCGCGCAG
RNAcentral lists this ribosomal RNA (557 nucleotides) under Bacillus sp. (in: firmicutes). RNAcentral's name for it is "bacterial SSU rRNA". It matches the Rfam family "Bacterial small subunit ribosomal RNA", at positions 36 to 574 of the family's 1533-position model. Lineage: Bacteria; Bacillati; Bacillota; Bacilli; Caryophanales; Bacillaceae. The record is from RNAcentral.